This 252-nucleotide ribosomal RNA is filed under the name uncultured bacterium. RNAcentral describes it as "partial 16S ribosomal RNA". It matches the Rfam family "Bacterial small subunit ribosomal RNA", at positions 524 to 775 of the family's 1533-position model. The record is from RNAcentral.
UACGUAGGGAGCGAGCGUUGUCCGGAAUUAUUGGGCGUAAAGGGCGAGUAGGCGGCACUUCGUGUAGGGUGUGAAAGCCCCCAGCUUAACUGGGGAGGGUCACUCUAAACUGGAGAGCUAGAGUGCAGUAGAGGCUAACAGAAUUCCCGGUGUAGUGGUGAAAUGCGUAGAUAUCGGGAGGAAUACCAGUGGCGAAGGCGGUUAGCUGGACUGUAACUGACGCUGAGGCGCGAAGGCUAGGGUAGCAAACAG